AUUGAACGCUGGCGGCAGGCUUAACACAUGCAAGUCGAGCGGGGUGAUGGUGCUUGCACUAUCACUUAGCGGCGGACGGGUGAGUAAUGCUUAGGAGUCUGCCUAUUAGUGGGGGACAACAUCUCGAAAGGGAUGCUAAUACCGCAUACGUCCUACGGGAGAAAGCAGGGGAUCUUCGGACCUUGCGCUAAUAGAUGAGCCUAAGUCAGAUUAGGUAGUUGGUGGGGUAAAGGCCUACCAAGGCGACGAUCUGUAGCGGGUCUGAGAGGAUGAUCCGCCACACUGGGACUGAGACACGGCCCAGACUCCUACGGGAGGCAGCAGUGGGGAAUAUUGGACAAUGGGGGGAACCCUGAUCCAGCCAUGCCGCGUGUGUGAAGAAGGCCUUAUGGUUGUAAAGCACUUUAAGCGAGGAGGAGGCUACUUUAGUUAAUACCUAGAGAUAGUGGACGUUACUCGCAGAAUAAGCACCGGCUAACUCUGUGCCAGCAGCCGCCGUAA
Molecule: ribosomal RNA, 501 nt
Filed under: uncultured bacterium
Lineage: Bacteria
Description: partial 16S ribosomal RNA
Rfam family: Bacterial small subunit ribosomal RNA
Source: RNAcentral